RNAcentral lists this ribosomal RNA (379 nucleotides) under uncultured cyanobacterium. RNAcentral's name for it is "bacterial SSU rRNA". It matches the Rfam family "Bacterial small subunit ribosomal RNA", at positions 376 to 770 of the family's 1533-position model. Lineage: Bacteria; Bacillati; Cyanobacteriota. The record is from RNAcentral.
CGAAAGCCUGACGGAGCAAGACCGCGUGAGGGAGGAAGGCUCUUGGGUUGUAAACCUCUUUUCUCAGGGAAGAAGCUCUGACGGUACCUGAGGAAUCAGCCUCGGCUAACUCCGUGCCAGCAGCCGCGGUAAUACGGGGGAUGCAAGCGUUAUCCGGAAUUAUUGGGCGUAAAGCGUUCGUAGGCGGUUUUAUAAGUCUGCUGUCAAAGUGCGGAGCUCAACUCCGUAAGAGCAGUGGAAACUGUGAGACUAGAGUGUGGUAGGGGUAGAGGGAAUUCCCGGUGUAGCGGUGAAAUGCGUAGAGAUCGGGAAGAACAUCGGUGGCGAAAGCGCUCUACUGGACGGCAACUGACACUCAGGGACGAAAGCUAGGGGAGCG